This 38-nucleotide ribosomal RNA is filed under the name Amanita sp. LEM19-2005. Its description in RNAcentral is "partial 28S ribosomal RNA". The record is from RNAcentral. RNAcentral also lists the same sequence under 1 other name. Lineage: Eukaryota; Fungi; Basidiomycota; Agaricomycetes; Agaricales; Amanitaceae.
UUGACCUCAGAUCAGGUAGGACUACCCGCUGAACUUAA